ACCCGAACCGAACCGGGAGAACCGGUUUUAUGCACAUCCCUAGGUCAUAGCACUCCCAAAACUCCCCUCUGUUAUAGGUGCCAGAACCACUAGAGUUGUUCUAACACUGAAGGUGACUUCAUCAUGGGCUCAAUCAAGUUCUUGCUCUGGUUAAAAAGUCUCCUUCCAUCAACAAUUUCUGAAUUCCAGGCAAGGUCCUGAACCACAUUAGGCAUAUCUGGCUGCAGAAGGAGGGAAGGCAAAGAAGGACUUCCCAUCACUAAAAUCUCUAACCAAAUGCAUUGUCUUUAGUAGCUUUCCUACUUGCCAGCAAUUCAUGGGCCAGAUGUGAGAGCCCAACCUGGACCUUCCAAGAAACCCUACGAACUAGCAACCCUACCAAGAUAAUCACAGAACAGUGAAACAGGCAACUUUUGGGUACAUGUCAGGAGCCUGUCCGUCCAGCGUCCAAGUCAAGGUCUCUGUCAAGGCCGCUGGAAGUUCCUUGGUGUCCUCUCCAGUCCAUCUGUCCGACAUCUUCGUUGAGGUCUCGGGCAAGGUCGCAGGCAGCUCUUUGGAGUCCCUCCCGGUCUGAAAAGAAAAAACAAGAGAACACUUUACUGGAAGUAUCAGAUUCAAACUGCCUUCCCCUACAACCUAGUUUGCUCACCAGAUAUCUACAGGUCCAGAGCCCAACAAGGUGCAAGGCCUCCUCCACAGAAGGAAAUAGUGACUGGGCACAGCAGUCCGGUCACAAGCAGGGACCAAGGGUUGGUCAGGAACAGCCAGAAACUCCAAAGCCAACACGAAGCUGGAAUCCCUCAGAGUCAGAGGCUGGGGCUGCAGCAACGCUCCAGGAAUGACACAUUGCUUCUAGCAACUUGGUUGUGGUCUGCUGACAGAUUUAUAAUGCUUGGCUGAUUGCCCUCCUCCCUCAGCCAGCUGCUGUAAAUUCAGCAUUUAUCUGCCUUGUUACAGAAAUGCUCACUUCAUCUCAAAGGCUGCAGCUGCGCAUCAUGCUCUUGCCGAUACUUGGUACGCCUUCGUUCUUUGGGGGUUAGUGCUUGUACUUCUAGCAGCUCCAAAUCUGACUGCUGAUCCUCCAGUCUGUCUGCCUCAACUUGGGCUGCCUCAGCUUCUUCCUGCAGCCCGACAAAUGAACUUUCCUCCUCUUGCUCUGCCGGAGGGUUGUCAACUUCCUCCUCCCCUUCACUAUCCGAGGGUAAGGGCAUGACAGUACAGUUGUAGUGACUGACACACAGGGACACCUCAAUGGCAUAGUUUGUGAUGAUGUCAUCCACCCUAAUUCAAGAUGGUGAAUGCAUAAAUAUUUGAGGUGUGCAUAGGCUAACUUGUGAAUUACCUGAACAAUUCGAACCAAAUUUCCUAAGCUGUAGGGAUGCCCCAAUGGUGGUGUUUGUGAUGAUGUCAUCCACCCCAAUUCAAGAUGGCAGAUGCAUAAACAUCUGAGGCACAAGUGCACUAAUGUGUGGACUGUCUAACUGAUCUGAACCAAAUUUGGUACAGUUGUAGUGAGUGACACACAGGGACACGUCAAUGGCGUAGUUUGUGACGAUGUCAUCCAGCCCAAUUCAAGAUGUCAGACACAUAAACAUUUGAGGCGCAAGUGGGCUAACUUGUGAACUGCCUAACCCAUUUGAACCAAAAUUGCAACAGCUGUAUGGACAUAUAGGGAUGCCCCAAUAGUGUAGUUUGUGAUGAUGUCAUCCACCUCAAUCCAAGAUGGAAGACAUGUGAACUUUUGAGACACAAGUGUAUUAACCUGAUAACUUCUAACCGAUUUAAACUAAAUUUGGUACAGUUUUAGUGAAGGGACACCUCAAUGGUGCAGUUUGUAAUGAUGUCAUCCACCCUGAUCCAAGAUGGUGGAUGCAUGAACAUUUGAGGCACAAGUGAUUUAACUUGUGGACCUCAAUUUGAACCAAAUUUAGUCCAGUUGUAGUGAAAAUAGGCAGAUUAGUUCUUACUAGAACAACUUGUUCUUUUCCGUAUUAAUGUAAUCAAAGUUUCUUAAUUUAAUGAAAACACUCUCAUAAUCUGUUUUAUGAAAAAAAAAAUUGUUCUUUUUGCAUACACUUUUCUUUAAAGCUAAUAAUAAAUCCUUGUUGCUGAAA
Molecule: long non-coding RNA, 2114 nt
Organism: Hemicordylus capensis (graceful crag lizard)
Lineage: Eukaryota; Metazoa; Chordata; Lepidosauria; Squamata; Cordylidae
Exons: 2
Source: RefSeq, a predicted model, not a curated record